CGGCGGACGGGUGAGUAACACGUAGGCAACCUGCCCAUGAGUCUGGGAUAACUACCGGAAACGGUAGCUAAUACCGGAUACAUCCUUUCCCUGCAUGGGGAGGGGAGGAAAGACGGAGCAAUCUGUCACUUGUGGAUGGGCCUGCGGCGCAUUAGCUAGUUGGUGGGGUAAUGGCCUACCAAGGCGACGAUGCGUAGCCGACCUGAGAGGGUGAUCGGCCACACUGGGACUGAGACACGGCCCAGACUCCUACGGGAGGCAGCAGUAGGGAAUCUUCCGCAAUGGGCGAAAGCCUGACGGAGCAACGCCGCGUGAGUGAUGAAGGUUUUCGGAUCGUAAAGCUCUGUUGCCAGGGAAGAACGUCUUGUAGAGUAACUGCUACAAGAGUGACGGUACCUGAGAAGAAAGCCCCGGCUAACUACGUGCCAGCAGCCGCGGUAAUACGUAGGGGGCAAGCGUUGUCCGGAAUUAUUGG
Molecule: ribosomal RNA, 475 nt
Filed under: Paenibacillus maysiensis
Lineage: Bacteria; Bacillati; Bacillota; Bacilli; Caryophanales; Paenibacillaceae
Description: bacterial SSU rRNA
Rfam family: Bacterial small subunit ribosomal RNA
Source: RNAcentral